Molecule: ribosomal RNA, 730 nt
Filed under: Dromiciops gliroides (monito del monte)
Lineage: Eukaryota; Metazoa; Chordata; Mammalia; Microbiotheria; Microbiotheriidae
Description: partial small subunit ribosomal RNA
Rfam family: Bacterial small subunit ribosomal RNA
Source: RNAcentral
UUUCCGCUAACCGGUGAGAAUGCCCUUAAAAACUAUAUAAAGUUAAAAGGAGCUGGUAUCAGGCACACCCCCUGGGUAGCCCAUUACACCUUGCUUAACCACACCCCCACGGGAUACAGCAGUGACUAACAUUAAGCUAUAAACGAAAGUUUGACUGAGUCAUAAUUAAGCAGGGUUGGUAAAUUUCGUGCCAGCCACCGCGGUCAUACGAUUAACCCAAAUUAACAGACCACCGGCGUAAAGCGUGUUUAAGUAUAAUAUUCUAAUAAAGUUAAAACCUAACUAAACUGUAAAACGUUAUAGUUAAUAUCAAAAUAUGCAACUAAAGUGACUUUAAUCUACACUGAACACACGAUAGCUAAGACACAAACUGGGAUUAGAUACCCCACUAUGCUUAGCCCUAAACCCAAAUAGUUAAAAAACAAAACUAUUCGCCAGGGAACUACUAGCUAAUGCUUAAAACUCAAAGGACUUGGCGGUGCCCUAAACCCACCUAGAGGAGCCUGUUCUAUAAUCGAUAAACCCCGAUAAACCCCACCUCUUCUUGCCAAUACAGCCUAUAUACCGCCAUCGUCAGCUCACCCCAAUAGGGACCCAAAGUAGGCAAAACUAUAAAACCAUAAAAACGUUAGGUCAAGGUGUAGCAUAUGAAGAGGGAAGCAAUGGGCUACAUUUUCUAAACUAGAACAUAACGAAUGGCCUUAUGAAAUCUAAGACCUGAAGGAGGAUU